Molecule: long non-coding RNA, 182 nt
Organism: Rhopalosiphum padi (bird cherry-oat aphid)
Lineage: Eukaryota; Metazoa; Arthropoda; Insecta; Hemiptera; Aphididae
Exons: 2
Source: RefSeq, a predicted model, not a curated record
AUCUUCUGACCAUAUUAACCUGAAAGUUCUUGGCCAAGAUAAUACAGUCAUACAAUUCAAAAUUAAAAAAAUUACUCAAUUAAGAAAAUUGAUGAAUGCAUACUGUGAAAAAAUUGGUCUUUCUUACAACUCGGUAAGAUUUCGAUUUGAUGGACAAUCGGUUAACGCGAAUGAUACGCCAA